CGGCCACGCCUAGCUGCCCACGCCGCACCCCACGACGCCCACGUCCAGCUGCCCACGCCCACCGGCCACCACCCACAACGCCGUACAGCCCGCACCCCACGCCCACGGUGCUCAACAAAGUCGCGAAGUGCUGGCCUGCUGGGUUCCAUUGUCUCCACUCGCAAACACCGAGAGAGUGUUGGGUAUUUGGUGGAUUUUCCUUUCCAAAAGUGGGUUUCAAUUGGUUAUUGAGUUGUGGGUUAGAUUUCAAUUGGUUAUUGAUUAGGCUAUAUAUGUUUGGAGGUUGUAUCAGAUCGUAAGUCUUUGCUUAGUUGAGAGAUUUUAUUGGAUUCAGAUUCUUUGGUGGGUGGGGGGAGGUUUCGACUUGCGGAUUGAUUUGCAGCACGGGGCAUUUGUAAAUGUGGUUUUUUGCACUAUGAUUAGCUACUGUGCUUAGUCUCCCUGAUUUGAUCGAUCUGUUUGUAUCGUUUCCAUUUCGAGGUUAAUUUUAGCUGGUUUGUCAACUAUA
Alnus glutinosa is the source of this 508-nucleotide long non-coding RNA. RefSeq lists it as uncharacterized. The record is from RefSeq and is a predicted model, not a curated record. The transcript is spliced from 2 exons. NCBI's taxonomy places the organism in Eukaryota, Viridiplantae, Streptophyta, Magnoliopsida, Fagales, Betulaceae.